UAAUACGGAGGGUGCAAGCGUUAUCCGGAUUCACUGGGUUUAAAGGGUGCGUAGGCGGGUAGGUAAGUCAGUGGUGAAAUCUCGGAGCUUAACUCCGAAACUGCCAUUGAUACUAUCUAUCUUGAAUAUUGUUGAGGUUUGCGGAAUAUGUCAUGUAGCGGUGAAAUGCAUAGAUAUGACAUAGAACACCUAUUGCGAAGGCAGCAGGCUAAACAUAUAUUGACGCUGAGGCACGAAAGCGUGGGGAUCAAACAGGAUUAGAUACCCUGGUAGUCCACGCCCUAAACGAUGGAUACUCGACAUACGCGAUACACAGUGUGUGUCUGAGCGAAAGCAUUAAGUAUCCCACCUGGGAAGUACGACCGCAAGGUUGAAACUCAAAGGAAUUGACGG
Molecule: ribosomal RNA, 393 nt
Filed under: uncultured bacterium
Lineage: Bacteria
Description: bacterial SSU rRNA
Rfam family: Bacterial small subunit ribosomal RNA
Source: RNAcentral